This 451-nucleotide ribosomal RNA is filed under the name uncultured cyanobacterium. RNAcentral describes it as "bacterial SSU rRNA". It matches the Rfam family "Bacterial small subunit ribosomal RNA", at positions 917 to 1359 of the family's 1533-position model. Lineage: Bacteria; Bacillati; Cyanobacteriota. The record is from RNAcentral.
GGACCCGCACAAGCGGUGGAACAUGUGGUUUAAUUCGAAGCAACGCGAAAACCUUACCAGGACUUGACAUCUAGGGAACCUUGCCGAAAGGCAGGGGUGCUCUUCGGAGAACCCUAAGACAGGUGGUGCACGGUUGUCGUCAGCUCGUGUCGUGAGAUGUUGGGUUAAGUCCCGCAACGAGCGCAACCCUCGUCGUUAGUUGCAGAUAUCGGUAUACUGAUAUUUUGCUCUCUAGCGAGACCGCCGGUGAUAAACCGGAGGAAGGUGAGGACGACGUCAAAUCAUCAUGCCCCUUAUGUUCUGGGCUACACACGUGUUACAAUGGCCGGUACAACGAGCAGCUAGCCCGCGAGGGUAUGCAAAACUCUUAAACCCGGUCUCAGUUCGGAUCGGAGUCUGCAACUCGACUCCGUGAAGUCGGAAUCGCUAGUAAACGCAGAUCAGCAUGCUG